Long non-coding RNA from Dermacentor andersoni, 667 nucleotides. RefSeq lists it as uncharacterized. Lineage: Eukaryota; Metazoa; Arthropoda; Arachnida; Ixodida; Ixodidae. The record is from RefSeq and is a predicted model, not a curated record.
AGAUAUAAAGUGAUCUGAAAUUUACCAAUAUGAGACAAAUAAAGUUGAAAUAGUGUAGAAGGUUAUCGAAUGCAUUGGCAAAAAAGCAACGUUGGUGCAGGUUGCGCAAAGUUCAAAGAACUGCUGAGCACGGCCUGUUAUCUCUACAGGGCAUUUUCUUUAUAAAACUACGGUCACCCCUUUUCUAACGAAGUGGGUCGCUAAUCAAACGGCUGUUGCGAACGCAGACUUUCUGCGCCAUCGGGAAGAAGCUGGGCGGGUACCACGUGUACCGCUUCAACGCGGCCAAGUCGUUCGGCUGCCUCGGUCCUCUGCACCCGGCUCGCAAGCUUUGCGUGCGGCUCGUCACCAGCCAAUACCUGGACAUGUUCGUUCUAGUCCUGGUACUCCUCAACACGCUCAUGCUUGCCCUCAAGUACCGCAACUGGCUCCUGGAUUUGCUGUUCCUCGCCCUCUUCACGCUCGACAUCGUGAUCCGGGCGGCGGCGCGGGGAUUUCUGAUGCACAAGUUCAGCUACCUGAGCGAGCUCUGGAACUGCCUCGACUUUGUCGUCACCUGCGCCGGGUGAGCUUGCUGUUGUAGAGACCCCGCUGACGCACCACGGCAACACGCUACGGAGGGGGCUCGGCGGCUAAGGUGUCUCACGCUGAGAGCACGAGGUCGCGG